UACGGGGGGAGCAAGCGUUGUUCGGAUUUACUGGGCGUAAAGGGCGCGUAGGCGGCCACCGCAAGUCGACUGUGAAAUCUCUGGGCUUAACCCAGAACGGUCAGCCGAUACUGCGGGGCUAGAGUGCAGAAGGGGCAACUGGAAUUCUCGGUGUAGCGGUGAAAUGCGUAGAUAUCGAGAGGAACACCUGCGGCGAAGGCGGGUUGCUGGGCUGAUACUGACGCUGAUGCGCGAAAGCCAGGGGAGCGAACGGG
RNAcentral lists this ribosomal RNA (254 nucleotides) under uncultured bacterium. RNAcentral's name for it is "partial 16S ribosomal RNA". It matches the Rfam family "Bacterial small subunit ribosomal RNA", at positions 524 to 776 of the family's 1533-position model. The record is from RNAcentral.